This 374-nucleotide ribosomal RNA is filed under the name uncultured bacterium. RNAcentral's name for it is "bacterial SSU rRNA". It matches the Rfam family "Bacterial small subunit ribosomal RNA", at positions 30 to 399 of the family's 1533-position model. The record is from RNAcentral.
AGUGAACGCUGGCGGCAGGCCUAACACAUGCAAGUCGAACGGCAGCACAGCAGUAGCAAUACUGUGGGUGGCGAGUGGCGGACGGGUGAGGAAUACAUGGGAAUCUACCCUGUCGUGGGGGAUAACGUAGGGAAACUUACGCUAAUACCGCAUACGACCGAGAGGUGAAAGCGGCGGACCGCAAGGCGUCGCGCGGCUGGAUGAGCCCAUGUCGGAUUAGCAGUUGGCGGGGUAAAGGCCCACCAAGGCGACGAUCCGUAGCUGGUCUGAGAGGAUGAUCAGCCACACUGGAACUGAGACACGGUCCAGACUCCUACGGGAGGCAGCAGUGGGGAAUAUUGGACAAUGGGCGCAAGCCUGAUCCAGCCAUGCCG